Non-coding RNA from Arabidopsis thaliana x Arabidopsis arenosa, 176 nucleotides. The record is from the annotation of a GenBank genome assembly. Lineage: Eukaryota; Viridiplantae; Streptophyta; Magnoliopsida; Brassicales; Brassicaceae.
UUGCCUUAAACUAAUGAGUAAGGAAAACAAAGCGAACGGUGAGAGCCGGUCGCAGACUCGCAGCGCUAAAUCGUAAAACAUUGAAAAUGGCGCAAGAAUUUAUGGAAGGGUAAAUAGGCUGGUACGAGUGUUGACGCUGCUUACUUUUGCAGAACUCUCUUGUGCGGGCCUCCCCA